Molecule: transfer RNA, 72 nt
Filed under: Camelus bactrianus (Bactrian camel)
Lineage: Eukaryota; Metazoa; Chordata; Mammalia; Artiodactyla; Camelidae
Also listed under: 2 other names
Rfam family: tRNA
About the family: Transfer RNA (tRNA) molecules are approximately 80 nucleotides in length. Their secondary structure includes four short double-helical elements and three loops (D, anti-codon, and T loops). Further hydrogen bonds mediate the characteristic L-shaped molecular structure. tRNAs have two regions of fundamental functional importance: the anti-codon, which is responsible for specific mRNA codon recognition, and the 3' end, to which the tRNAs corresponding amino acid is attached (by aminoacyl-tRNA synthetases). tRNAs cope with the degeneracy of the genetic code in two manners: having more than one tRNA (with a specific anti-codon) for a particular amino acid; and 'wobble' base-pairing, i.e. permitting non-standard base-pairing at the 3rd anti-codon position.
Source: Rfam by way of RNAcentral
GAGAGUGUAGCUCACUGGCAGAGCACAUGCUUAGCAUGCACCAGGUCCUGGGUUCAAUUCUCAGUAUCUCCA